This 497-nucleotide ribosomal RNA is filed under the name Leifsonia sp. Its description in RNAcentral is "bacterial SSU rRNA". It matches the Rfam family "Bacterial small subunit ribosomal RNA", at positions 218 to 727 of the family's 1533-position model. Lineage: Bacteria; Bacillati; Actinomycetota; Actinomycetes; Micrococcales; Microbacteriaceae. The record is from RNAcentral.
GUCAAGGAUGAGCUCGCGGCCUAUCAGCUUGUUGGUGAGGUAAUGGCUCACCAAGGCGACGACGGGUAGCCGGCCUGAGAGGGUGACCGGCCACACUGGGACUGAGACACGGCCCAGACUCCUACGGGAGGCAGCAGUGGGGAAUAUUGCACAAUGGGCGCAAGCCUGAUGCAGCAACGCCGCGUGAGGGACGACGGCCUUCGGGUUGUAAACCUCUUUUAGCAGGGAAGAAGCGCAAGUGACGGUACCUGCAGAAAAAGCACCGGCUAACUACGUGCCAGCAGCCGCGGUAAUACGUAGGGUGCAAGCGUUGUCCGGAAUUAUUGGGCGUAAAGAGCUCGUAGGCGGUUUGUCGCGUCUGCUGUGAAAUCCCGAGGCUCAACCUCGGGCCUGCAGUGGGUACGGGCAGACUAGAGUGCGGUAGGGGAGAUUGGAAUUCCUGGUGUAGCGGUGGAAUGCGCAGAUAUCAGGAGGAACACCGAUGGCGAAGGCAGAUC